RNAcentral lists this ribosomal RNA (2149 nucleotides) under Shigella flexneri. RNAcentral's name for it is "partial 23S ribosomal RNA". It matches the Rfam family "Bacterial large subunit ribosomal RNA", at positions 1 to 2166 of the family's 2925-position model. Lineage: Bacteria; Pseudomonadati; Pseudomonadota; Gammaproteobacteria; Enterobacterales; Enterobacteriaceae. The record is from RNAcentral.
GGGUUGUGAGGUUAAGCGACUAAGCGUACACGGUGGAUGCCCUGGCAGUCAGAGGCGAUGAAGGACGUGCUAAUCUGCGAUAAGCGUCGGUAAGGUGAUAUGAACCGUUAUAACCGGCGAUUUCCGAAUGGGGAAACCCAGUGUGAUUCGUCACACUAUCAUUAACUGAAUCCAUAGGUUAAUGAGGCGAACCGGGGGAACUGAAACAUCUAAGUACCCCGAGGAAAAGAAAUCAACCGAGAUUCCCCCAGUAGCGGCGAGCGAACGGGGAGCAGCCCAGAGCCUGAAUCAGUGUGUGUGUUAGUGGAAGCGUCUGGAAAGGCGUGCGAUACAGGGUGACAGCCCCGUACACAAAAAUGCACAUACUGUGAGCUCGAUGAGUAGGGCGGGACACGUGGUAUCCUGUCUGAAUAUGGGGGGACCAUCCUCCAAGGCUAAAUACUCCUGACUGACCGAUAGUGAACCAGUACCGUGAGGGAAAGGCGAAAAGAACCCCGGCGAGGGGAGUGAAAAAGAACCUGAAACCGUGUACGUACAAGCAGUGGGAGCACGCUUAGGCGUGUGACUGCGUACCUUUUGUAUAAUGGGUCAGCGACUUAUAUUCUGUAGCAAGGUUAACCGAAUAGGGGAGCCGAAGGGAAACCGAGUCUUAACUGGGCGUUAAGUUGCAGGGUAUAGACCCGAAACCCGGUGAUCUAGCCAUGGGCAGGUUGAAGGUUGGGUAACACUAACUGGAGGACCGAACCGACUAAUGUUGAAAAAUUAGCGGAUGACUUGUGGCUGGGGGUGAAAGGCCAAUCAAACCGGGAGAUAGCUGGUUCUCCCCGAAAGCUAUUUAGGUAGCGCCUCGUGAAUUCAUCUCCGGGGGUAGAGCACUGUUUCGGCAAGGGGGUCAUCCCGACUUACCAACCCGAUGCAAACUGCGAAUACCGGAGAAUGUUAUUACGGGAGACACACGGCGGGUGCUAACGUCCGUCGUGAAGAGGGAAACAACCCAGACCGCCAGCUAAGGUCCCAAAGUCAUGGUUAAGUGGGAAACGAUGUGGGAAGGCCCAGACAGCCAGGAUGUUGGCUUAGAAGCAGCCAUCAUUUAAAGAAAGCGUAAUAGCUCACUGGUCGAGUCGGCCUGCGCGGAAGAUGUAACGGGGCUAAACCAUGCACCGAAGCUGCGGCAGCGACGCUUAUGCGUUGUUGGGUAGGGGAGCGUUCUGUAAGCCUGUGAAGGUGUGCUGUGAGGUAUGCUGGAGGUAUCAGAAGUGCGAAUGCUGACAUAAGUAACGAUAAAGCGGGUGAAAAGCCCGCUCGCCGGAAGACCAAGGGUUCCUGUCCAACGUUAAUCGGGGCAGGGUGAGUCGACCCCUAAGGCGAGGCCGAAAGGCGUAGUCGAUGGGAAACAGGUUAAUAUUCCUGUACUUGGUGUUACUGCGAAGGGGGGACGGAGAAGGCUAUGUUGGCCGGGCGACGGUUGUCCCGGUUUAAGCGUGUAGGCUGGUUUUCCAGGCAAAUCCGGAAAAUCAAGGCCGAGGCGUGAUGACGAGGCACUACGGUGCUGAAGCAACAAAUGCCCUGCUUCCAGGAAAAGCCUCUAAGCAUCAGGUAACAUCAAAUCGUACCCCAAACCGACACAGGUGGUCAGGUAGAGAAUACCAAGGCGCUUGAGAGAACUCGGGUGAAGGAACUAGGCAAAAUGGUGCCGUAACUUCGGGAGAAGGCACGCUGAUACGUAGGUGAAGCGACUUGCUCGUGGAGCUGAAAUCAGUCGAAGAUACCAGCUGGCUGCAACUGUUUAUUAAAAACACAGCACUGUGCAAACACGAAAGUGGACGUAUACGGUGUGACGCCUGCCCGGUGCCGGAAGGUUAAUUGAUGGGGUUAGCGCAAGCGAAGCUCUUGAUCGAAGCCCCGGUAAACGGCGGCCGUAACUAUAACGGUCCUAAGGUAGCGAAAUUCCUUGUCGGGUAAGUUCCGACCUGCACGAAUGGCGUAAUGAUGGCCAGGCUGUCUCCACCCGAGACUCAGUGAAAUUGAACUCGCUGUGAAGAUGCAGUGUACCCGCGGCAAGACGGAAAGACCCCGUGAACCUUUACUAUAGCUUGACACUGAACAUUGAGCCUUGAUGUGUAGGAUAGGUGGGAGGCUUUGAAGUGUG